Molecule: long non-coding RNA, 832 nt
Organism: Diachasmimorpha longicaudata
Lineage: Eukaryota; Metazoa; Arthropoda; Insecta; Hymenoptera; Braconidae
Exons: 3
Source: RefSeq, a predicted model, not a curated record
CUGUCCAUUUCUCUUCCCAAAAAGAAAAUGGCCGGCCUCCUCCUGAAGAGACGUCCACCCAGCCUAAUUCACCCUCAAAAAUCCCUCAAAUUAUUGACUGUUCAGCCCUUCAUCGACUCCUUUGUCAGUUUAACUAUAAACAAAUCCCCCCGAAGUCAACGACAGGAAAAGUGAAACGAAAAAAACUCAAAAUGGAGGACUGAGUGUACGAAAUUGCAGAAAUGAUCGCUGCGUGAGGCCGGAUCAUCAUCCAUCUUCACCGAGGAAAUCAUUUACACUCGAGUACGUUCAAUUUACAUAUUAUUCUUCAUACGUGACCUACCGUGCUCGAAUAAUUCGUGUUUUGGGAGCAAGUGGAGCUUGGCCAUGACCAGCUAGGUAAGCAACGAUUAAUUGAGGGUUUGUCAAUCCGAAUGCAUUCCUUUACCUCCUAAUCGUUGUAAGGGGUGUUCGAAAGUGUUUAGCAUUGUUGUUGUGUUCAGUUAAUUAUAAAAAAAAUAAAGAAGAGGCAGCAGAGGGACGGCGAUGCCAGUGUUUGGAAGGUGAUGCAGUUGGAGGCUAUUCCCAGGCAUUUUUGGAGCUUAGAGGAUCUCUGGGGGUAGUAAAUUCACCAGUGCAAGGGCAUGACGACCUUAUUUGCAUGGAAUUACAUUUUUAGAUGCCGUGAAAAUGACUCCACUGCCCUGGAGUCGUCCCCAGUCUGUCAAGGAAAUCAGCCCGUGGAGCUCUUCGAUCUCAUGGGAAAAAUAGCAGUCAUCAGUGAGGGGUUAACUAAUGAAUUUAUUUUGAAGAAUAUUCACUGCAGGAUGUGCCAAUAAGAGUAUCAACCUUA